CUACGUGCCAGCAGCCGCGGUAAUACGGAGGGUGCGAGCGUUAAUCGGAAUAACUGGGCGUAAAGGGCACGCAGGCGGUGACUUAAGUGAGGUGUGAAAGCCCCAGGCUUAACCUGGGAAUUGCAUUUCAUACUGGGUCGCUAGAGUACUUUAGGGAGGGGUAGAAUUCCACGUGUAGCGGUGAAAUGCGUAGAGAUGUGGAGGAAUACCGAAGGCGAAGGCAGCCCCUUGGGAAUGUACUGACGCUCAUGUGCGAAAGCGUGGGGAGCAAACAGGAUUAGAUACCCUGGUAGUCCACGCUGUAAACGAUGUCGAUUUGGGGGUUGAACUUUAGGUUUGGCGCCCGUAGCUAACGUGAUAAAUCGACCGCCUGGGGAGUACGGCCGCAAGGUUAAAACUCAAAUGAAUUGACGGGGGCCCGCACAAGCGGUGGAGCAUGUGGUUUAAUUCGAUGCAACGCGAAGAACCUUACCUACUCUUGACAUCCAUGGAAUCCUGUAGAGAUACGGGAGUG
Molecule: ribosomal RNA, 514 nt
Filed under: uncultured bacterium
Lineage: Bacteria
Description: bacterial SSU rRNA
Rfam family: Bacterial small subunit ribosomal RNA
Source: RNAcentral